AGAGUUUGAUCCUGGCUCAGGACGAACGCUGGCGGUGUGCUUCACACAUGCAAGUCGAACGGAGUAGCAAUACUCAGUGGCGGACGGGUGAGUAACACGUGGGAAUCUACCAUUAGGUGGGGAAUAACAGGCCGAAAGGACUGCUAAUGCCGCAUAUGUAGGCAUCUCGACAGAGAUGUUUAUGAAAGGAGUAAUCCGCCUUUUGAUGAGCCCGCGUCCGAUUAGCUAGUUGGUAGGGUAAAAGCCUACCAAGGCGACGAUCGGUAGGUGGUCUGAGAGGAUGAUCACCCACAAUGGGACUGAGACACGGCCCAUACUCCUACGGGAGGCAGCAGUGGGGAAUUUUACGCAAUGGGGGAAACCCUGACGUAGCGACACCGCGUGAGCGAAGAAGCCCUUUGGGGUGUAAAGCUCUGUCAACAGGAACGAAACAAAUGACGGUACCUGUGGAGGAAGCAUCGGCUAACUACGUGCCAGCAGUCGCGGUAAGACGUAGGAUGCAAGCGUUGUCCGGAUUUAUUGGGCGUAAAGAGUUCGUAGGCGGUUUGUUAAGUCUGAUGUUAAAGACCGGGGCUCAACCUCGGAAAUGCAUUGGAUACUGGCAGACUGGAGUGCAGUAGAGGCUAGUGGAAUUCCCAGUGUAGCGGUGAAAUGCGUAGA
Molecule: ribosomal RNA, 660 nt
Filed under: uncultured bacterium
Lineage: Bacteria
Description: bacterial SSU rRNA
Rfam family: Bacterial small subunit ribosomal RNA
Source: RNAcentral